RNAcentral lists this ribosomal RNA (261 nucleotides) under uncultured archaeon. RNAcentral describes it as "partial 16S ribosomal RNA". It matches the Rfam family "Archaeal small subunit ribosomal RNA", at positions 748 to 1008 of the family's 1478-position model. The record is from RNAcentral.
CAGCCGUAAACUAUGCGCGUUAGGUGUACUGGUGACCACGAGUCACCGGGGUGCCGAAGGGAAACCGUGAAACGUGCCGCCUAGGAAGUACGGUCGCAAGGCUGAAACUUAAAGGAAUUGGCGGGGGAGCACCACAACAGGUGGAGCCUGCGGUUUAAUUGGAUUCAACGCCGGACAUCUCACCGGAUAAGACAGCUGAAUGAUUGUCAAUCUGAAGGUUUUACAUGACUAGCUGAGAGGAGGUGCAUGGCGUCAGUGACU